AUUGAACGCUGGCGGCAGGCCUAACACAUGCAAGUCGAGCGGUAGCACAGAAGAGCUUGCUCUUUGGGUGACGAGCGGCGGACGGGUGAGUAAUGUCUGGGAAACUGCCUGAUGGAGGGGGAUAACUACUGGAAACGGUAGCUAAUACCGCAUAACCUCGCAAGAGCAAGGAGGGGGACCUUCGGGCCUCUCGCCAUCAGAUGUGCCCAGAUGGGAUUAGCUAGUAGGUGAGGUAAUGGCUCACCUAGGCGACGAUCCCUAGCUGGUCUGAGAGGAUGACCAGCCACACUGGAACUGAGACACGGUCCAGACUCCUACGGGAGGCAGCAGUGGGGAAUAUUGCACAAUGGGCGCAAGCCUGAUGCAGCCAUGCCGCGUGUGUGAAGAAGGCCUUCGGGUUGUAAAGCACUUUCAGCGGGGAGGAAGGCGGUAAGGUUAAUAACCUUAUCGAUUGACGUUACCCGCAGAAGAAGCACCGGCUAACUCCGUGCCAGCCGCCGCGGUAA
This 506-nucleotide ribosomal RNA is filed under the name uncultured bacterium. RNAcentral describes it as "partial 16S ribosomal RNA". It matches the Rfam family "Bacterial small subunit ribosomal RNA", at positions 30 to 523 of the family's 1533-position model. The record is from RNAcentral.